AUCACGACACCUGAAGCAGCUGCUCGCAGAUUCAGGAGGAUAAUUUUCAGUCUGAUACACAGACUGAUGAAGAAAGACAUCAGCUUCUCCAGGCAUUUCUUCAUUCUGAUAAAAACAGCAACAAGGUUCCGGAGGGCUAAACUAAGUCCGAAAGAUGAAGCUGCAUAUUUUUCAUCCAUGUUUAAAGAUAAAGAUGGAUUUGAAUUAAAAUACAUAAAUUUAUUUAAAGGUCGAGGAGUCUUCAGCUGUCGCCACUUUCAAAAGGGAGAUUUUCUUGUUGAAUAUCGAGGGGAUGUCGUUACUAAACAAGAAUCUGAAAGAAGGCACAGAC
Silurus meridionalis is the source of this 331-nucleotide long non-coding RNA. RefSeq lists it as uncharacterized. The record is from RefSeq and is a predicted model, not a curated record. NCBI's taxonomy places the organism in Eukaryota, Metazoa, Chordata, Actinopteri, Siluriformes, Siluridae. The transcript is spliced from 4 exons.